GGGGCUGUAGCUCAGUUGGUAGAGCGCCUGCUUUGCAAGCAGGAUGUCAGGAGUUCGAAUCUCCUAGGCUCCA
This 73-nucleotide transfer RNA is filed under the name Microbacterium sp. RNAcentral describes it as "tRNA-Ala". It matches the Rfam family "tRNA". Rfam says of the family: Transfer RNA (tRNA) molecules are approximately 80 nucleotides in length. Lineage: Bacteria; Bacillati; Actinomycetota; Actinomycetes; Micrococcales; Microbacteriaceae. The record is from RNAcentral.